GCGCCGGAUGCUGACACGCUGUUACCGCUGUUAUAUUUAAACCGAGACGCAAAUGUAAAAGUGUGACAUCACGAAGACCCCUCCGAGCGCCUCUACGACACACACACACACACACACAGAUUCAGCAGUUGGUUAGUGAGACCAGCAGGGGGUCGGAUCGCUUUCCCCUGAUCUCCAGCCUUCAGCUCCAGCUCUCAGUCUCAGUGCUGCAUGAGAGAGGGAGGAGGAGGAGGAGAGGAGGACACUUCCCUCUCCAGCAGCAGCAGCACACGCGAGGGAUGCGCUUCACCGCCUUAGGGGACUGGAUGGAUGGAGCGACAGGGUCAUGAAGGUGCCCGCAACCUCUGGGUUGGAUUUAGGGGGCCGUUACCGCAGAAGGAGACCAUCCAUAAUUAAUAAGAGCGAGCCGGAGAUCCUAGAACCGAAGCGCAAGCAGCACCGGCGAGUCAUGUCACCAACUGACAGCGCUUCCAGAGGAGCUGACGAGGAGGACAAAGGAGGAUGAAGGAGGUAGAGGUGGAUUAUAAUGAAGCUGAGUGGCAAAGGACUGUGCACCAUCGUCUCCAGCAGUCUGCUCUUCGUGUGCGCCGUGAGCGCGGUGGUCGUGGGAUUCAAAUGCAUCGCGCUGGGCUCCGGGGUGCGAACGCACUUCCACCUGGCCACCGCGGCCGGCGCCUUCUACUCGGGCAUCCUGGUGGCUCUCGGGCAGGUCCUGAUGGGGGUGGCGCUGGUCUUUUGCCGGGGCAAGCCCAGGUGCGCCAAUUUCUUCCUCUUUGGGAUCUUAGUGUUUCUGUUGGGGGUCCUCACGGCGUUCUCGGGCGCGGUGGUGGACGGAGACACGGUGUCCCUUGUGGAGAGGAAGUACGCGCACUAUUGCCAGGACUCUGUGGAUGUAAACCCGGCGUGCGACCGGCUCAAGGUGUACCAGAAGGGUCUGGUGGUCUCCACCGUCCUUAACACUUUGGAGUGCCUCCUGGGGCUGAUGAACCUGGUGAUCAUUAAGCGUUACCAAGCGGCGCAGUUUCACCGGAGACGCCGAGCGCAGCGGCAGAGCGCGCGCAUCAUCCUUAACGAGGAGCGCGACUUCGCGGUUACGGAGUUCCAGCCGGUGUCCUACAUCAACUUAGGGGUGUUUCACGCGUUGGACGAGACGGACGGGGAGGUGCAAAGUCGGGGUCACCCGUCUAUGGAGCUGCCAGGCUAUUCGCCCUCGAACCCGGAGCUAAAUCACACGUACCCGUUUUCCUACCCGCUUCACAACGAGUUGCCACCCGCGUACGAGGACAUAUUCCCCGGGGAAACGAGCGGCAAAUAGCGCGGGAACAUUGCAGUUUUGCACUGACAAUCACGCAGUCGGCACGCCGAACUUGGAAUCGACACCUUUAUUUCGGUGUGACGGCGACCAGCUGUUGCCUAAUGCACUUUUUUAUCCAUCCGAGGUUUUAGCCAACAUUGGAAAUCCUACAGGCGGUGAACAGUCGUUCAUAAACGAUCCAGAGAAGGUAAACGUACGGAAGGGAUUAUAAGUAUACAUGCAACAUUUGUUUUUUUCCACCCUCCUGACUGGCUCCUGAUUGCAUUCUCGGUUCACCCCUUGUCAAAAUCCCAAAGGUUUGUGUACAGGAUUCCUAAUCGGAAGUUCGGGACCUUUCCUAAAGGAUAAUUUUCUUACAGUAUUCCAGCAGGGCACAAAAACAAAAGAAGUUACCAAUAUAUGAGAAGGUAAACGUACUGAAAGUAUGCUUGAAGUAAACAUGCAACGUUUGUUUUUGUUUUUUUUGACCUCCCUGAUUGAUUGUAUUCCGAAUUCACCCCUAGUCAAAUUCCUACACGCAUGUGUACAGGAUUCCCAUGGAAAUGGCUAUAAUUGGGAAGCAAACAACACCAAGGAUUUGUUUUAUAAUAUUGUAACAAGCCACAAACAUACUGAAAUAAACCAUCUGCUUGCUUAUAUUCUCAGUUCAUCUCUAUGUGGAACUUCACUCUUAAAAAUAAAGUUUAUUAACCAGCUUUGAUGGUUCCACGAAGAAACUUUAACGUCUUUGCUUCCAUCAAUCUUUAAAUUCCAAAAACAUUAAGGUGAAAUAAGAUACUUUAGAUCAGUGAUUCUCAAACUUUUUUUCAUCAAGUUCCACCUCAGAAAAAAUUGUCCCUCCGAGUACCACCAAAUGACCAGUAAUUGAAAUACAAUAACGUAGUAGGCCUAAGCAGCGGCAGCUCUGCACAGUUUAAAAAUGUGGCGGAUUUAUUACUAUUAUUAAUAAUAUUUAUAAUUAUCUGACACUUUCAGCCUCAUAAAUAGUUUGAACAUUAACACUACUGCGCUUAUAUGUAAAAAAACAGACAAAAUAAAAUGUCAACGUUUAAAUUAAAAUGUGCUUUUAAAAGUUCUUUAAAAAUGAUAGGCUACUGUUCUUAAAAUGUAAAAAAAAUCUCCUGUACUUAAAUGUAAAGUGUUAACCUAUAGUAUCCUAUUCAUCAAAGCCUGGAAAUGCUGCUUGGACCUCAUAAAUAUAGGCUAUAUGUCAUCAUAUUCAUAUAUGAACCAUUUUUGAUACAUUUUUAAAUACAUGUUGCAUGUACAUGUAUUGGGUUACUCUGCAUUCCACUAGAAGGUGGUAUGCAUACCACAGUUUGAGCCCCACUGCUUCAGAUUAUGAAAUUGCUCUUCACAUAUGGAAAAACUGAUUUCACUCAAAAGUUUCUUUAAUGGCAUCAUAGAAAAAACCCUGUUGGCUUCUCAAAGGCACCUUUAUUUUUAAGACUUUAUGAUUUAGAGCUAUUCGUUAUGUUUUAAAAGUUAUUAUUCCAACAAGUUCCCAGGUGAUCCAUUAGGAGUUUAACAUAAUAAAACAUCCCUGUCCCUGUAGGACAUCAAGUGCAGUUUUCUUCUGAAAGGCCUAAAAUGAGACAUCUAAUGUUCAGCCUUGUGAUUUGUUUAUAAUCUCUCCAUCCUUGGUGUUUUAGCAAAAAGCCAUUGACAUUAAAAUGACAGGCGUUCCCCAUCAGACGGAACAUUUCGGCUGUGGCUCAUGAUUGAUGUUUGUACAUCUUGUUGUUUUAGACUAAUAAGAGAACACAUUGAGCUGAAUCACAGUUCUUCUGGCUUCAGCAUUUUCUGUCCUACAGGUCAGACAGCUGUGUGAUUUCCUGAAGUGUAUUUACUGGAAGUCACUAAUAAUACUUAUAAAUAGCCUUCAUGACCGAUUAUUUCCCCAGUUUAAUUAAUCUUUUUGCACAUAAUUUCUAUUUGAAUGUAUGCUAUUUUAUAAUAUUCCAACAAAUAAAACAAAAAUUAGUAUUUUUAUAUUGUCAAAUAAGUAUUAUUAUGCAUCAAAGUUGCAUUAGCACUUUAAAAGGCAUAUACAGUCGUUCACCCAAAACUGAAAGUCUGCUAAUAAUUUGCUCAACUAUUUGUUUGUCCAAUAUGCAAGUAACUUUUUUCUUCUCUGUCAGAGAGUGUGUUUCAUAAAAUGCAAGUCAAUGACUACCCGCACUGUAGUUUACAAAAUAAAUAAAUAAAUAAAUACAUUUAUCAGGCAAAAUCAAUAUAUUUUGGCUCAUUACGAAACACUGUGCCCUUAUUAAGUGUGGUUUAUUCAUAAACUAAUUUCGAGAUGAUCACGUGCUUAUAAUCAACACGGCUGGCUCCUUGUUAGCUCCGUAAUCAGCCCUAUUAGAUGAUUACGGAAGCAUUAUAAAUAACCAGAGUUUUUCACUCCAGUUAUCUUCGUCUUGAAGCUCUCCCCCUUUCCACCUCUACAUCCUCCCACUUUUUCUGAUUGGGCGACACGGUGGCCCAGUGGCUAGCACUGUUGCCUCACAGCAAGAACACCGCUAGUCCAACCCAUCGGGCUGGUUGGUGUUUCUGUGUGGAGUUUGCAUGUUCUCCCCGUGUUCGCGUGGGUUUUCCCCGGGUUCCCCGGUUUCCUCCCACCGUCCAAAAACAUAAACCAUAGCCAAUCGACUAAAACAAAGUAUCACCCAAUACAACCUGAGUUUACACUUCUCACGGUGACAAGCAGGGGAGUUCUCGAGACCUACCUGACCUCGAAUUCCCCUCUCGCCCUUCUAACGGGAGGGAGCCCUGGGCUCGAGGAUAUUACGAGCUCAGGGCUCUCUCCCGGGACAGCAUGCCAAAUACGCUUUAUUGAUUAUCAGCUAAGUGUGAACUCUUGAAAGCUAAACGAUCAUUUACAGCCUUCUUACCUUUAAUCCACAGCUCUAAAGGUAGUGCAAUGCUCCCAAAACCAAACCUAUCACUUAUUUUAUAGAUGUUAGUAUUUAUUUAUUCAAUACUAGUACUUGUUAAAGGGAUAAUUCACCCAGAAAUGUAAACGCUGUCAUCAUUUACUCACGCUUGUCACAAAUCUGUUAAACAGGAGUGUUGGGUUGGCGCAAUAGCCUAGUGGUUAGUGUGCUGACAUAUGGUGCAAUAGCAUGUCAGGGCGUCGCGAGUUCGAAUCCUGGCUCAACGACAUUUCCCUACCCCCCCCCUCUCUCUCUCUCUCCCACUUCACUUCCUGUCUCAAUACUAUCCUACUAAUAAUAAAGGCAAAAAGGCCAAAACUAAAUCUUAAAAAAAAAAAAAAAAACAGGAGUGUUGGGUUGGCGCAAUAGCCUAGUGGUUAGCAUGCCGACAUAUGGUGCAAUAGCACAUCAGGGUAUUGCGAGUUUGAAUCCUGGCUCAACGACAUUUCCCUACCCCCCCCCCCCCUCUCUCUCUCUCUCCCACUUCACUUCCUGUCUCAAUCCUAUCUAAUAAUAAAGGCAAAAAGGCCAAAACUAAAUCUUAAAAAAAUAAAAAAAAAACAGGAGUGUUGGGUUGGCGCAAUAGCCUAGUGGUUAGUGUGCCGACAUAUGGUGCAAUAGCAUGUCAGGGCGUCGCGAGUUCGAAUCCUGGCUCAACGACAUUCCCCCCCCCCUCUCUCUCUCCCACUUCACUUCCUGUCUCAAUACUAUCCUAUCUAAUAAUAAAGGCAAAAAGGCCAAAACUGAAUCUUAAAAAAAAAAAAACAGGAGUGUUGAAAACCUGUAACCACUGACUUCCAUAAUAUGCGUUUUCCUUAGUAUGCAAGUCAAUAGUUACAGAUUUCCACCAUUCUUCAAAAUAUCUUCUUUUAUGUCCAACAGAAAAAUGAAACCCAAAGGCAUAGGCAUUGAGUAGAUGUUUAUUUUGAGUGAACUUUUAACCUGAACCAUUAAUCCUGAGUCUGUUUGCUUCAUAAGAUCUGAAUGUACCAUCAAGAGUUUAUUUUAUGAGCCUUAAAGUGGCCGCAGUCGCAUUUUAUGAAAACAAACACAAGUAAAAAGUCUUCUACUUGUUCUUUGCAACACUAUUUAACAGUAUGAUUACCUUUAAUAAUCAAUUAAGAAUAAAGAAACGUCACUAGCGAAUAUCUCAUCAGCGAUUUAACUCUAAAAGCUGCCUAAAGUUUCUUUGGGAAUCCUGCACACAAAAAUCUUCGACUAGAGAUGCCCGUGUAGAUUCUUAGCGUUGCUCUAUUGUUUCCCCCCCUCAUAUUGCUUCCGUUGAGCUUCUGAAUAAAAGGUGUACUUACUCUC
This is a long non-coding RNA of Danio rerio (zebrafish), 5565 nucleotides long. NCBI's taxonomy places the organism in Eukaryota, Metazoa, Chordata, Actinopteri, Cypriniformes, Danionidae. The record is from Ensembl.